Nicotiana tabacum (common tobacco) is the source of this 668-nucleotide non-coding RNA. The record is from RefSeq and is a predicted model, not a curated record. Lineage: Eukaryota; Viridiplantae; Streptophyta; Magnoliopsida; Solanales; Solanaceae.
ACACGUAUUUUAUCAUUCUCCAUAUGUGCAAUUAAGAUCGAUUCCAUCUCCUUGCUCUUGUUCUCUAAACCCAUCUUCUUCAAUUCUUCUUUGUUAUUAGCGACGUCGACUGCAAUGAUUUUUUGAUUUCAUAGAGCUAAAUCUACAACAACAAAGCAAUGGAUAUUGAUGAAUUAAAGAAACUCAUUGCAGCUGCUAUUGCUAAUAACAAAGAAGAAGUGAAGAGGAUGGGUUUGGAAAACAAACUCCAAGAGUUGGAGUCUAUCCUAAUUACACAGAUGGAGAAUGAUAAAAUAUUCCCGGACAAAAAGGAUUUGGUGGAUUAUCAUAAUUUUUUGAAUUUGGUAAGCAAUGAAGUUGAAAAGGAGAUUGAACGUGAAAAAGCUGCUCAAAGCUCAACAUCAAGAGCUGCAGAGUAGAUAUUACUGAUUGGUUAAAGCUUUCAUUUCUUUAAGUUGAAAUAUCUAUUUAAUAUUUUGUAUUGUCGUAAAGAUAAAUAAUAAAUCUUCCUUUAUUUCAAGUGAAAAUGUCCGUUAUUGCUAUUCCGGAACAAUUGUACUUAGAGAUUUUCUAGUAAACUCAGUAGAGCUUAUGACUUGCACUACCGAUUUUGGGAUUGUUGGCUUGUAUAAAAAUUUAUGUUUCAUAAUUAAUAGUCGUUGGUUGAA